RNAcentral lists this ribosomal RNA (232 nucleotides) under uncultured bacterium. Its description in RNAcentral is "partial 16S ribosomal RNA". It matches the Rfam family "Bacterial small subunit ribosomal RNA", at positions 118 to 347 of the family's 1533-position model. The record is from RNAcentral.
UGGGCAACCUGCCCUCAGCUCUGGGAUAACUCCAAGAAAUUGGGGCUAAUACCGGAUAUGACCGCUGACCGCAUGGUCUGGUGGUGGAAAGAUUUUAUCGGCUGGGGAUGGGUCCGCGGCCUAUCAGCUUGUUGGUGGGGUAGUGGCCUACCAAGGCGACGACGGGUAGCCGGCCUGAGAGGGUGACCGGCCACACUGGGACUGAGACACGGCCCAGACCUCCGUACGGGGA